ACUGUUUGUAAUCUUGUUUAAAUAAAUAAUCAACUCUACCAAGAGGAACAUAAAAUCAAAACUUUGUUUCGCAUUUUUCCUUCACUUUUGAGUACUUUCUUCUCUUAGUUAAAAAUGUACAAAAAUAUUAUAACUCAAAGCUAUGAUAAUCAACAUGGUGAAUGAAAAUGCAUAUAGUGGGAAAAGUUCUUUAGACCCACAUAAUU
This 206-nucleotide long non-coding RNA is filed under the name Elaeis guineensis (African oil palm). RNAcentral describes it as "long non-coding RNA (EGUI_LNC030392)". Lineage: Eukaryota; Viridiplantae; Streptophyta; Magnoliopsida; Arecales; Arecaceae. The record is from RNAcentral.